UCUUCUUGGAAGGAAUCUUAGCAAGAAAGAAGUAGAUUCCAGAAUUUACUCUCGGUUUAAAAAUAUCGAAAGAUAUUUUAGUUAUGUUCAAGAAAGAAUCAAAGGGAAGAAGUCCCCCAAAGUUUACCUACAGUUUUAUCUCAAAGAUAGGUGUUUCCCUCUGUUGGAGAAAAGUAUGAUCUUAUAUAUUGUUUAUUUAUACCUCACUAUAAAUUAUUCUUGUUCAUCUCUUUCUCAGGUAACAUGUCCCUUUUAC
This 256-nucleotide long non-coding RNA is filed under the name Lathyrus oleraceus (garden pea). RNAcentral describes it as "Pisum sativum (pea) long non-coding RNA (PSAT_LNC024572)". Lineage: Eukaryota; Viridiplantae; Streptophyta; Magnoliopsida; Fabales; Fabaceae. The record is from RNAcentral.